AGUCCCUCACCUUCUCCAGACGCCACUCGUUCGGCUCCCGCUUUUCUGCCGCCAUCGACUCGCAGCGACACAGCAACCGCACAAGGUUCAACUCCAGCCGCGACGUCGCCAGCGGGCGAAUCUCUAACCCAGACGGGCCUUGGAGCCGCCGAUCACACUCGGGAAGCGAUGGCUGGCAGGACCGGAAGGGCCGUCGCAGCUUCGGACCCACGCGCAACGCUCCCCGGUCACUGAGUUCCGCUCGCACAACUGCCCAGUGCGCAUCUUUCUGAGCGCUCCGUAGCCAAACCCCAGCAUUCGCUUUCUCCUUUCGCCUGGGGCUUUCCCCGAGCCUGACUUGAUGACUUGCCAGGUGGGCGCUUCCGUCGGACAGACCGGCUAGUUUCCAGCCCUGGUAGUCUGCCUACCGAGCUCUGACCCAGCCGUUUCUAUCCUCAGCCAAGAUUCUUUCCAUUCUGUAAUAAAUCAUUAUGAUCCAUUUUAUGAAAA
This is a long non-coding RNA of Myodes glareolus (Bank vole), 489 nucleotides long. RefSeq lists it as uncharacterized. The record is from RefSeq and is a predicted model, not a curated record. Lineage: Eukaryota; Metazoa; Chordata; Mammalia; Rodentia; Cricetidae.